Molecule: ribosomal RNA, 306 nt
Filed under: uncultured bacterium
Lineage: Bacteria
Description: partial 16S ribosomal RNA
Rfam family: Bacterial small subunit ribosomal RNA
Source: RNAcentral
GACAGCAGCCGCCGCGGGAAUACGUAGGUCCCGAGCGUUGUCCGGAUUUAUUGGGCGUAAAGGGAGCGCAGGCGGUUUAGUAAGUCUGAAGUUAAAGGCAUUGGCUCAACCAAUGUAUGCUUUGGAGACUGUUAGACUUGAGUGCAGAAGGGGAGAGUGGAAUUCCAUGUGUAGCGGUGAAAUGCGUAGAUAUAUGGAGGAACACCGGUGGCGAAAGCGGCUCUCUGGUCUGUCACUGACGCUGAGGCUCGAAAGCGUGGGUAGCGAACAGGAUUAGAUACCCCCGUAGUCCCUGUCUCUUAUACA